RNAcentral lists this long non-coding RNA (5609 nucleotides) under Pan troglodytes (chimpanzee). Its description in RNAcentral is "long non-coding RNA NONPTRT009761". The record is from RNAcentral. Lineage: Eukaryota; Metazoa; Chordata; Mammalia; Primates; Hominidae.
ACCAGAGCCCCCAACACACACACACACACACACACACACACACCAGAGCCAACACACACACACCAGAGCCCUUCAACACACACAGAGCCAACACAUACACCAGAGCCUCCAACACACACACGAGCCCCCAACAUACACACCAGAGCCCCCCAACACACCAGAGCCCCCAAUACACACACACAACAGAGCCCCCAACACACACACCAGAGCCUCCCACACCAGAGCCCCCUAACACACACACCAGAGCCCCUAAUACACACAGAGCCCCUGACACACACACUAGAGCCCCCAACACUCAUACACACCAGAGCCCCCAACACACACACACAUCAGAGCUCUCAGCACUCACACACACCAGAGCCGCCAACACACACACACACACACCAGAGCCUCCCAAGACACACACCAGAGCCGCCAACACACACACACACACAACCAGAGCCCCCAACACACACACACACACCAGAGCCUCCAACACAGAGCCCCCAACACGCAAACCAGAGCCUCCAACACACACACCAGAGCCCCCAACACACACACCAGAGCCCCCCAACAGACAGAGCCCCCCCAAGAAACACACACACACCCCCACUGCCUCGUCCCCUCCCCAUCUGCAUCCAUCUAGAUGGCCCAGCAAGAUAUUUUGCUAAAGACAAAGUAAAAAUUCCCUCAAGCAUCUCCGCGGCCCCGCUUUGAAUAUGUUUUCUCCCGACUCAAUAGACAUACAUUUCUUGAGUGCUUUCUGUGUGCCAAGUGUUGUUACAUGCAGUGUUUCAUGUCCUCACAGAAAUCUCCAUGUAGCAGAUGAGUAAACUGAGGCGGGUGGAGAUGGUGACUUUGAGCUAAGGCUGAGUGAAGAUUGGUGCAUCCUGGGGUCCUCUCUGCCAGGUGCACACUGAAUGGCAGGGCUGGGCCCGAGCCCUCACUUGCCUCCCAACAACUCUCCCCUGAAGCAGAAAAAAGCAGAAAAGGGGAUGAAACUGUGAUGCAGAGAAGCCUGAUCCAGACGCCAGCUCACUCUGGGGGAACCCACACAUCCCUGAAGGAUGGGGCUGGUGCCAGGGAACCCCCAGAGCCAUGCUGGCACCAGUAGGAAGAGGAAGCAGGAGGCAGAGGGAAGACCUUCCCAGGCAGCCUGGCUCCACAGCAGAUUUGCUGGCCUCAGUAAGCAGGGAGCUCCCCAUCACUGGGGUGUGCAGGCCAAGGUCAGAGGCUCGUUCCCUGAGGGUAGAGUAGAGGGAUGUCCAGAUGCACAAUCUCCAAGAUCCUCCCUCUCCCAGAAUCUCUAGCACUGCCCUGAGGCUUUGUAUUAGCUAGCUGGUGCUGUGUAACAAGGUACCCCACAAGUCAGCAGCUUAAAACAAGCGUUUAACCCUUUCUGUGAGUCAGAAAGGUGUAAGUCAUGGUGUGGCUUUGUUGGGUCUCCUGGCUUGGGCUCUCUCAGGAGGCUGCAGUCAAAGCAUUGGCUGAGACUGUGGUCAUUCUCAAGGCUCUGCUGGAGAGGAUACACUUCCCAGCUCACUCAGGUGGCUGGUAGUAGGUUCACGUGUUGGCUGGCGGUGUCAGUUGCUCACUGGGUGGGCCUCUCCGCAGGGUAGCUCAUGGCAUGACAGCUGACCACCCAAAAAGAGGGCUCUGGGAGAGAGAGUUCAAGGUGCAGAGCCCAGUGGAACCCACUUUUUUGGAGCCUAACCUUGGAAGGGACAUCCCAUGCCUGUCACUUCUAUUCUAUCCAUUUGUUACAAGUGAGCCACUUGGUUCUGUCCCUAUCCUUUGUUCUCCUUUGGGUACCAAAGGAGGGUGUGAGUAGCUGCAGGUGGAUUCUUUGGAGGCUGUCUUAGGGCUGCAUACUACAGGCCUCAAUGUAGAAUCAGAGUAGGGGGCUGUGAGCAGCCACAUUUUACAGAUGGGGGGACUGAGGGCAGAAGGAAAAAGUCAACAGUCUGGUGUGUGUGUUGGGGUCUGGUGUGUGUGUUUUGGGGGCUCUGGUGUGUGUGUGUGUGUUGGGGGCUCUGGUGUGUGUGUUGGGGACGUCGUCCAAGGUCACACGGCUUGUGAAUUGCUGGGGCUCUGGUGUGUGUGUGUUGGGGACCUCGUCCAAGGGCCCAAUUCAGGCUGGGGCCUGUAGGACUCUGUUUAAACAUCUUGGGCCACAUUAGAGGCCUCCCAUGCCAUGCCCGAGGUGCCCCAUCCCGGCAGAGAGCAUUCCUCAGAGCGCAGAGGGUAUGCAGGGAGGCCGGCAGGGCUCCAGGGACCUUGCUGCAUCUGUGUCCGUGGACUGACAUCCCCUGAGAGUGACUACAUCCGUCAGGACACUCCAACUGUGCCCCAAACCCUUGCACAUUGGACCCUGUCAGGAGGACAGGUCUGCAGGGGAUGGGAAGGUGAGUCCAGCCACCAGAGCUCACACCACACCUGCUCUCUGCCAUUUAUUCAGCAAACUCCCAUAAAGCUCUCCCACGUGCCAGGCUCUGCACUGGGCUUGUAGAGAGGAUACCAAAAGGAACCACCAUUGAGAAGAUCUGGUCCCCAGCAGGCCUCGGGUCUCUCUUCAGCUCCUCCCUGGGCAGCAUGGCCCUGAGCCUCACUUUACCCAACUGUAAAAUGGAGUCAUCGUCUCUGCUUUCCUCCCAGUGAAGGUGCAAGAACUGGGCGAUCCCACGGGUCCACCAGGGCUUUGACAAGGCAGGUGCUGGGGCAGAGCACUCUGGCCAGGAAGCAAAAGAUAAAGGUUCCCAUCUUGGCCCCAGCCUGGAUCUGUGCCCAGUGAUAGUUAUCAGCCUGGAUCUGUGCCCAUUGCAUCGUGUGGACGUACCACGCCAUGUUCCUCCAUCACCUUUUGAGGAAACUUCAGUUAUUUCCACCUUCUAACCGUCAUCAGUAAAGCUGCUGUGAACCUUCGCAUCCAGGUCUCCUGGUGAAAUGAAUGCACACAUCUCUCUUGGGUAUUAUAUGAGUGUCCCGUAGCUGCUGUAAUAAACUAUCAUAAAUGCAGUAGCUUAAAACAACAUAGAUUUAGUCUUGUACAGAUCCGGAGGACAGCAGUUGGAAAGGAGACUCAUGAACACCUCAUGUCAAGGCAUCAGCAGCACGGGGCCCUGCUGGAGGCUGCGGGGGUGAGUCCAUUUCCUUGCCUGCUCCAGUUCCCAGAGGCACCCACAUUCCUCGGCUUUUGGCCCCUUCCAGAUGCAAGGACAUCUCUCCGACCUCUGCUCCCGUGGCCACAUCCCCUCUGCUGACUCUGAGCCUCCUGCCUUUCUCACUUAGGACCCUGUGAUGGCAUCAGGCCUAGCCAGUUAAUCCAGCCUCAUCUCCCUCUGCCAAAACCCUCAACUCUAUCGUGUCAGCAGAGUCUCUUUCUCCGUAUUGAGGUAGCGUUCCUUGGGAUGGCCAUCUUGCCCCAAAUAGGUUCCUUGAUGUCCCUGUACUGUUUGCAGGGACACAUUUACAAAGUAGGAUUAAUAGCAUCUCCCCCUUUCUGGUCCCUGUGAGAAUCCCUUAGAAAAAUUUAUGAAGGCGGCCGGGCACGGUGGCUCAUGUCUGUAAUCCCAGCACUUUGGGAGGCCGAGGCGGGUGGAUCACCUGAGGUCAGGAGUUUGAGACCAGCCUGACCAACAUGGUGAAACCCUGUCUCUACUAAAAAUAAAAAAACUAGCUGGGCAUGGUGUUGGGUGCCUGUAAUCCCUACUACUUGGGAGGCUGAGGCAGGAGAAUCGCUUGAACUCGGGUGGCAGAGAUUGCAGUGAGCCAAGAUCGCGCCAUUGCCUGGGUGACAGAGACUCCAUCUCAAAAAAAAAAAUACGUGAAGGCUCCCAGCCCCAUACCCCACGUGCAUACAGUCAGCGCCAACUAACAGAAGCCACUGCCGCUGCUGGGGAACACAUUGUCUCCAGUUCACCUGGGAUGAGGCGUGUUGUGCCUCAUGACUCCUCUGCUUUUGUCUGCAGGAAGGGUUAUUGUCACAGAGGGUCUGCAUUCUGGAAGCUUUCAUUGUUAUUCAAAUUGCCAGGUGCUCUGUUACCUUCCCACUUAGGUUGCAGGUACCAGCCCACCAGGCCUGCCAGCUGCAGACCCUCCUCACCCCGUGGGCCCUGCUUCCGGUUUCAGGCUCAGCUCCUCUCUCACCAGGGCCACUAGGGCCAGCAGGGCAGCCUGCUGCUCCCCAGCCUGCCCAGGCCACUACCCUGGACGAGAGGGGCUGGCUGUGUGGCCCUGUGGUCAGCAGCCCAGGCCAAGCUCCACUGCUAGCUAGAUACGCAGUUUUGGGCUAGUGACAUUGUCUCUCUGAGCCUCAGUUUCCUCAUCAGCAAGUUGCAGGGACUAGUGGUCCCCACCCCUGAGGCUGCUGAGAGAACUGAGGCUACACAUGCAUGGGAAGUGCUUGGCACGGUGCCCGGCGCAGAAGAGAGAAUCAGUACCCUGCAGCCCUAAUCUUGCCGCUAUGAGAAUUAGGAACGAUCUUCUAUGUCGACUCCCCACAGCCUCGGGAUCAGGUCCAGACACUUUCUGGCAGAUGAAGGCCUUGUGGCUGCUGCCUCUCCAUACUCACCCCUGCCGGGAGCAUCUUGUGCCGCGACAGCCAUGCUCCUUGUGAUCCUCUGAAUGGCCUUGGCUGAGGCUGUUCCAUCUGCCCAGAGUCACCUGUCGUCCCAACAAACCUUGUCCAGGGCCCAGCUCUGUGGCUGCUCCCGAUAACUUUUUCCCCAAUCUCCACCCCGGCCAGGGCCCCAAGACUGCUAGACACUCACCACUGACACAGCGUGGGUCUGCUGCUCUUGUUUUGGGGUCCUGGUGUGGCUCCCCCACCAGCUUGGAGCCCUCGAGGGCAGGGCCCACACCUGGCUCAGUUCUGAGCCCCCAGCCCAGGCCUGGCAAAGGUGCCACAGUUUUGGCUUACUGGAAGGCCUAGUGCGAGGGGCCAAGAGUUGACACUGAGUGAGGGGAGCACUGGUGGGCCUGGGCCUCGGGGUCUACGGGACUGGCAAUGAGGGGCAAGGUGACCUGCAGAGUGCCUAGGAGGACACGUGACUCCCGCAUCAGGGCAGGCGAGUGCUCUCCGUGGCAGGAGUCGAUGGCCACACAGGAACAGCUUCCUGCACUCACAGGCUACAGCCCCGCAUGUGACCAAGGCGUGCUUGCCAUGAAAGCAGAACAAGAGUUGACAUUUGCCAAAGAUUCCUUCCAGAAGGCUGUGCAAUGUGGAAGUGUUCCCGGGGCUACUGUGGGCUGAUGGGCUGGGCUGUGUCCACAGGAGUGAUAGCCCUGCUGGGCAGCGGUGAGGAUGGCCUACAGUGGUAUUAGGUGGGUGCCUAAGGCCCAGAGAGGUUAAUGACUUGCCCAGGGUCACACAGCUUGUGAGGGGCAGAGCUGGGACCUGAACCUGGGCUUGUCUGACAUUGAGGCCAUGGACAUCUCUGCCAUAGGACUCUACGGUGCUGUGUGGUACAGGGUGUUACAAAGGCCUGUGGGAGUCAGACAAGCUGCGCUGAAGGGGCGCCCAGUGAGUGAGGUCUUGAAGGAUGUGUAGGAGUUUCCUAGGUGGAGAUAGGGGAGGGUGUUCCCAUAAUGUGAAGAACACACUGGGGCUUUCUGGAAAGAGUACUUUGGAG